UUUAAAGCAAUCUAAGCCUUCUGAACUUAUUCUAAUUAAGUAUCUUCAUCACAAAUGAUCUUUUCUUCAUACCUUAGGUGUCGAACUUUACGAAUGAAUCUUUGUUCUUCAAUUUGAAUUUUUUCUUCAAAAACUUUUGCGAUCAACUCUUCAAGACUCCAUUCAACAUUACGAAAUUCGCCAACCUAUAAAAUCCUUAACACCCUCUUCUUG
RNAcentral lists this long non-coding RNA (213 nucleotides) under Ananas comosus (pineapple). RNAcentral describes it as "long non-coding RNA (ACOM_LNC043796)". The record is from RNAcentral. Lineage: Eukaryota; Viridiplantae; Streptophyta; Magnoliopsida; Poales; Bromeliaceae.